UCCCACCUCCCCCCGCAGUCUGUGCGAUGCCGUCCCCUUCUCCGAGGGGCUGAGGGACGGCGUUAAGCCCCAGAUCGGUGUCUGUGGAGACAGCGUUUUCUGAGGCGGGGGAGGGGGGAGCCAAACUCUUCCUCCCUGCCAGCUUUUUCAUUGUUUAUCAAUAAUAAAAAUGAGAACCCCAGCGUUUUCUAGGUGAGGAUCUCAAUGCAAUUGGGAAAAUGAGGCAGGCAUCACCGAGGCUUACCUCAGUCAGAGAGAUGUCCCCUGUUAAAUGAGACCGGCUGAGGUUCAGAGAAGGCGCUGCCACUGCACAGCAUUAUUACAGCCCCAGACCAGAUAAAAGAGUACACAGAUACUUCAUGAACAAUGGCACAAAGUCUACAUUCAAAGAAAAAAAAAUAGCAAAGCAUGAAAUCCUGGAACUUACAGAGAAUCUGACCCUGUAAAGGACUUGGAUCAGGCAUGAGAGAGACGAGAAGAAGAGCAGGGUAUUGGAUGACACCCUAGGACUUCUCUGAUGAUCCAGAGUGACCAAGGAUUCAUUACCUUUCAAGGUCUUGUCCCAUAAAGGAAGCUAAAAUACAUCUAAAAAGAAGGAUUAAUUUAACCUGCAUGAGUAUAUGGAAGAACUUUCUUGUACUAUUUGAAAAUAAAACAGCUUUAGUUGGUAUUUUUUCAUGAAGAAAGGUCAAAAAGCAGCCCAUGACAUUCUACAAACUGAGUCGUGUCAUCUUCACUUCUUCUACUAAAGUGAAGCCAAUCGUUGUCUUAGUAUAUGUUGUUACCCAUAGUAUUCAUGAGAUUUACAGUCAAGGAUGUGUGUCUAAAAUUUUCAAAGCCAUCUGUUCGGUAUAGAAAAACAUUUUCUAUUCAUUUUAAUGGAAUUAAAGGUUCCUUUACUCUGUUCCAAUUUAUGCAAAAUAGGCUUUGAUUUCAGGAUUCUGGGAGCCUGACAGCCAAAGCAACCCAAAGACAUGAAGUGUAAUCUUGGAGACCUUGUUUUCAUGAGCUGCAUGUGAUGAAAAUACUGAAAUCAAUCAGUCAACCUGUGGUUCUGAUAAAACAUGCACUUUGAGAGCCAAGAUUAAUGCACAUUUUGCCUCAACGUUUGCAGAACAAAACUGUAAUCCCUGACAAACAGUUUGGGAACUACAAAUUGUAGAUAACUGAGCCAUUUGUAAUCUUCUCCGAAGAUAAGCCAAACACUAAGGAAGAUAGUGAGUAUUCAGGAUUACAAACUCAGCUGGUAUUUAUCCAGACUAAGUUCCUUUCUAAAUCAUACUUUUCUUCCUGUAUGAGCUAAGUAAUCUUCAGUGGCUUUGUAGGUUAGCAAUGCCAUGCAACUUGUUCCAAAAACUUGAUUGUUACUGCUGUAAAAGGGAUGAACAAAUCAAAUUAGGCUUCAGCAACAAGUUAUUUUCUAAUCUUAAAUGGGACUUAGUUAAAUGACAAUGAUAUAGUGUUCCCUGGGAUAGUGAAAGCUGGCAGUAAAGCAGUUUUUAGAUAUUUUAUUAUGCACAUUUCUGAAAUUUUACACAGUUUCCUAUAGUGGAUUUCAUGCAUUAGCAUCGAGCACUUGUAAUAGCAAAUUGUCAAGGUCUAACAGUUUGUGCAGUGUUAGAAUUUUUCUAUAGUAAGGAAGGUAAUGGAAAGCUAAUUCCUAGGUUCUCAUCCACAGCAUGGGGAACCCAACUGUGCAGCCAGGCAAUGUGGAUGUGGAAGGUAGGAAAUAUCAUAGUUUGACACUUGACUGGGAUAGAUCAAAUGGGAUCGACCUAGGCCUACUAGAUUAAGAAGCAUCAUUGGUGAUAACGUUGUGGAAUUGUCUGAACUGUAAUUGCACUGCACCUUGAUAGCCUAGGAGAAAAGUAUUUUCCCAUUGCUUUUAACAAAGUGAUAGCUGAGAGUCCUUAUAAUGUUCUGGGUCACUGAAAGCUAUUUUCCCCUUAUUGAACACUUGGGGAAAAAAAAAAAAGGAAGUGAUGCACAGAUGGACAGACUUAUUUUUCAGCAUAUAUCACUCAGGGCUGUGUAGUCAAGGAUCCUCUAAUGAAGCAAAAUGUUGUGGGCUGAUCUAAACUGUCAGUCUCAUCCUCUAUUUCUACUUGCUAGUUUGCUGUGGCUGUAUAACAUUAUCAGUCUGUUGUACUUUGAGGACAUUGAUAUAUAGAGAUAAGAAAUUUCUGCUGAAUACUGCAAUCAACUAAAAGUAAUAACACUUUUAAAUAACCCCCCUCUAGCCCUCCACUUUUGUUUGCAUAGAAUUUGUUCUAUGGGUACUGGCAGUAUUGUUUGAUUAAUGUGGGCUGUAAAAAUUUCAGCUAAUGCAAUGCCUGAAGCAAGAAAACAUAAAUGCUUUGCAUACUAGCUACAGUUAACUGAGUACUAACUGACUGUGCAGCUUCCUGGCCGUAUGUUCUAUACGGUUCAGCAUUUUUAAUUGUAUAGAUGUCCUAAAAUAUGCAGAAAUAUCCUUUAUGAAAUACAAGUAUAUGUGAAUGAUUUAUUGUAAUUGUAGGAAGGAAAGAAAUAAAAUAUACACAUUCUAAAUGCUCAACAUUUCUGAAAAAAGUGUCAAGGAUAAUGGUACAUGUGUUGAAAGGAAGCUCUCUCUUUUUUGUGAGUAAAUCAAUAGGGGAAUAUUUUGCAAAGCCAUCCAGUGAACUGAUUGAACUUUCCAACAUUGCUGUAGGCUACUGACCACAAAACAAAAUGCUUACGUGUCUAUUUUGUUGCAGGCUGUGAAAUGUCAUGAUCACCUAGAAUCUGUUUAAUGAUGAAGGCCUGGUACAGGAGUUUCACUUCCUUCAUGAAUUUCCUAUUAAAGCAAAUGCUUUUUCUCAAGUAAUACUCUUGGCUAAGACACUGCAGUGACUGGCCAAGCUCACACAAGUGAGAUAGAGCAACUUCUGAAUAGCAGGUGUCAGCAGCAUAGGCAGCUGCAUGACGUGUGAGUGACAUGGAAGAAGCAGGCUAGCUGCCAAGACCUCUGAGCAGCAAUGUGCUUGAUAUACAUGUGAAACACUGAAUGUGCUUCAUCUACAGGUCUGUUGUGACCCAUUUUGUGCGUACGUAUGGAAUGCCUCUUCAAGUACCAGAAAUAAAGUUGAGGCAACGUGAUACUGAGAAGUACAUGUGCGUGCGUAAAGCUGAGGACCCUUAGAUAAUUUGAAUGCACUCCAAAGUGGGAGGAAGCCAUGUCUGCUGUGAUACAAGUGCUGGCUGAUUAAGGACUCGACUGAUAACUGACAGUGCAAAGGCGCAAAGUGGGCUCUAUACAUACACAAUUGUUUCUGUAACCUUAAUCCUAACUUCUCUUUUGCAUAAGCUUGGGAACCCGGUAAUUCCAACAAAUAAAUAAAGAGAUAUCAGGAUCUGUCAGUAACAAUCCUCUGUUUCUGUCUCUGGAACUUGCAGAUUCAUUUAAAUGUUCAGACUCAGUGGUCAGGAGUUUUUCUAACCUUUAAUUUACAGAGAGAUAGGAAACUGUUAUACUUGGUAAAUAAAUAAUGAUGAGACAGAGCUUAACGUGCUCAGGCCUAAGCUUAUCUCUGGGACUUGCAAACUAGUAUGCGUGCUAAGAGCAGCACACAUACUUUCUGGAUGUGUAGGAAAAGGGAUACUAAGUGCUCCCUAGCCCGUUUCUUCUCUAAUAUCCACUCUCAGGAUUUUUUAUUCUAAUUUCUAACUCCUUUAGUGAUUGAGUUUUUAAUCUUUAAUGUAUCUAUAUGUUGUUUUCGUGUGUGCAGUAGCAGCAAUAAUGAAUAGAGUGUCUUUUUUGAUAACUUACAAUGUUUAUUUAUGCAAUGUAAUACCUCUGUGGCACUGUUCUGAAUGGUUUUUUUUUCCUCAUGUGCAAGAACAAAGAUUGUCGUUUACUCACACAUGAUGUUUGACCAGUGUUAGUGAAAUACAUAAAAUAAAAUAAUAGUCUUAUUCCCA
Molecule: long non-coding RNA, 3942 nt
Organism: Rhea pennata
Lineage: Eukaryota; Metazoa; Chordata; Aves; Rheiformes; Rheidae
Exons: 3
Source: RefSeq, a predicted model, not a curated record